AAAGGUUUAGUUAAUUAAAUAACAUUAAUUUGUCAAGUUAAAAUUAUCAGCCGAUAUCCUUUA
This 63-nucleotide transfer RNA is filed under the name Lucanus kanoi kanoi. RNAcentral's name for it is "tRNA-Asp". RNAcentral also lists the same sequence under 1 other name. Lineage: Eukaryota; Metazoa; Arthropoda; Insecta; Coleoptera; Lucanidae. The record is from RNAcentral.